CAGAAUCCAACUCAUUGACUUCGCAAUUGGCUGUUAGUUUAUUUACGAUAAAAAGAUCUGAAGCAAUUAUAUAUCCACAAAUUGCUUCUUCUUUUUCCUUUUUUUUUUUUUUUUUUUUCUUUUGUUAACAUCAAAUUGGAAAUUAGAAAACUGGAAAUAGCUAUAUGAGUAUAGGACACAUCACACAUCACACAUCAUCCAUCCAUAAUCAGGCUUUCAAUUUAAUUUCAUGCUGAUAGAGGAUACUGACACACUCGUAGCAUGGUUUUGGAUAAAAUAUUAUAGUUACUGUCCAAACACUUGUAAACAACCCAAGAUAUGAAGAUACCAAAAGCAAAUUUAUGUAUUUUGAGCCCAUAGAUAAAUAUACCAAAUACAUCCGACGAGAUUAAAACACAAGGUCUAGCUAGAGUCAUGCAACGCAGAUCAUACAAAAUUACAAACUAAUCUUUAUUCAAUCGAAAGAAAUCAGCAAGAAAAAAAAAAAAAAAUCAGCAAGAAGCUAAAACUGAAAUCUUCAUGCUAAUAUUGCAAAAAGUGUUUUAUACUUAAGAAG
This 556-nucleotide long non-coding RNA is filed under the name Capsella rubella. Its description in RNAcentral is "long non-coding RNA (CRUB_LNC003300)". The record is from RNAcentral. Lineage: Eukaryota; Viridiplantae; Streptophyta; Magnoliopsida; Brassicales; Brassicaceae.